This 253-nucleotide ribosomal RNA is filed under the name uncultured bacterium. Its description in RNAcentral is "partial 16S ribosomal RNA". It matches the Rfam family "Bacterial small subunit ribosomal RNA", at positions 524 to 776 of the family's 1533-position model. The record is from RNAcentral.
GACAGAGGGUGCAAACGUUGCUCGGAAUCACUGGGCGUAAAGGGCGUGUAGGCGGGAAGGGAAGUCAGAUGUGAAAUCCCCAGGCUCAACCUGGGAACUGCAUUUGAAACUCCCUUUCUUGAGUAUCGGAGAGGAAAGCGGAAUUCCUGGUGUAGAGGUGAAAUUCGUAGAUAUCAGGAGGAACACCAGCGGCGAAGGCGGCUUUCUGGACGAUAACUGACGCUGAGACGCGAAAGCGUGGGGAGCAAACAGG